GAGUUUGAUCAUGGCUCAGGACGAACGCUGGCGGCGUGCCUAACACAUGCAAGUCGAACGAAGCACUUCUGAAUGGAGAUUCGUCAAAGUUCAGAUUUGACUUAGUGGCGGACGGGUGAGUAAUGCAUGAGCAACCUGCCCUGCAGUGGGGGACAACAGUUGGAAACGACUGCUAAUACCGCAUGAUGUAUCUGGAAGGCAUCUUCCGGAUACCAAAGAUUUAUCGCUGUGGGAUGGGCUCAUGUCUGAUUAGUUAGUUGGUGGGGUAACGCCUACCAAGACUGCGAUCAGUAGCCGGACUGAGAGGUUGAACGGCCACAUUGGGACUGAGAUACGGCCCAGACUCCUACGGGAGCAGCAGUGGGAAUAUUGGGCAAUGGGCGAAAGCCUGACCCAGCAACGCCGCGUGAAGGAAGAAGGUCUUCGGAUUGUAAACUUCUUUUAUGAGGGACGAAGGAGUGACGGUACCUCAUGAAUAAGCCACGG
RNAcentral lists this ribosomal RNA (486 nucleotides) under uncultured bacterium. RNAcentral's name for it is "bacterial SSU rRNA". It matches the Rfam family "Bacterial small subunit ribosomal RNA", at positions 9 to 496 of the family's 1533-position model. The record is from RNAcentral.